Molecule: ribosomal RNA, 373 nt
Filed under: uncultured organism
Description: bacterial SSU rRNA
Rfam family: Bacterial small subunit ribosomal RNA
Source: RNAcentral
CGGGGGGAGCAAGCGUUGUUCGGAUUUACUGGGCGUAAAGGGCGCGUAGGCGGCGCGACAAGUCACUUGUGAAAUCUCUGGGCUCAACCCAGAACGGUCAAGUGAUACUGUCGUGCUAGAGUGCGGAAGGGGCAACUGGAAUUCUUGGUGUAGCGGUGAAAUGCGUAGAUAUCAAGAGGAACACCUGCGGCGAAGGCGGGUUGCUGGGCCGACACUGACGCUGAGGCGCGAAAGCUAGGGGAGCGAACGGGAUUAGAUACCCCGGUAGUCCUAGCCUUAAACGAUGAAUGCUUGGUGUCCGGAGUUAGAUAGUCUCCGGGUGCCGUCGCUAACGCUUUAAGCAUUCCGCCUGGGGAGUACGGUCGCAAGACUG